This is a small nucleolar RNA of Equus asinus (donkey), 96 nucleotides long. Lineage: Eukaryota; Metazoa; Chordata; Mammalia; Perissodactyla; Equidae. The record is from Ensembl.
CAGAGAAGUCAAUGAUGGUUUUACCCAAAAAUGUCUGAACCUGUCUGAAGCAUCUCAGUGAUGCAAUCUCUGUGUGGUUCUGAGACUUCUCUGAGA